GACGAACGCUGGCGGCGUGCUUAACACAUGCAAGUCGAACGGUGAACCUCUUCGGAGGGGAUCAGUGGCGAACGGGUGAGUAACACGUGGGCAACCUGCCCCCGGCUCUGGGAUAACUCCAAGAAAUUGGGGCUAAUACCGGAUGUUCACCGCUUCCCGCAUGGGUGGUGGUGGAAAGGGUUUCCGGCUGGGGAUGGGCCCGCGGCCUAUCAGCUUGUUGGUGGGGUAGUGGCCUACCAAGGCGACGACGGGUAGCCGGCCUGAGAGGGUGACCGGCCACACUGGGACAGGGGCACGGCCCAGACUCCUACGGGAGGCAGCGGUGGGGAAUAGUGCGCAAUGGGCGGAGGCCUGACGCAGCGACGCCGCGUGGGGGAUGACGGCCUUCGGGUUGUAAACAUCUUUCAGCAGGGACGAAGCGCAAGUGACGGUACCUGCAGAGGAAGCACCGGCCAACUACGU
Molecule: ribosomal RNA, 462 nt
Filed under: uncultured bacterium
Lineage: Bacteria
Description: partial 16S ribosomal RNA
Rfam family: Bacterial small subunit ribosomal RNA
Source: RNAcentral